This is a long non-coding RNA of Ananas comosus (pineapple), 2664 nucleotides long. RefSeq lists it as uncharacterized. The record is from RefSeq and is a predicted model, not a curated record. The transcript has 5 exons. Lineage: Eukaryota; Viridiplantae; Streptophyta; Magnoliopsida; Poales; Bromeliaceae.
UCCAUUCACUUUUUCUCUUCUCCCCUCCCUGCUGCCAGGUCCUGCGCAGGACUCAAGUUGCAGCCAGCAACAACUUUGGAGCAACCAAGCCGCCAGCAGCUUUCUGCAGGCUGGCAGCAUUGAGUUAAGAGUUUUGGGAGCUAUUUGGAUAUGAUUUAAUGCUCCAUUUUCGAAAUUGACUGCUUGCACUUGUGUCGGGAGAAGUUGGAAGUCAGCCCAUAUCUUCCUUGAGCUAAAAUUGAAGAAUUCAUUAAUGUUCAUAUAAAUUUUCUAUGGAGACUAAGCUUUAAAAAGGUUGGGAGUGAUCUUGACUUCGUCCUCUACUGCAUAGAAUCUUGUUUCAAUCAAUUCGGAGGUUUUUCUUGUAGUGGAAUGGCCUAAGAUCACUUGUGGACAAGUACCAAUUCCCAAUUUCGCUGUUGGUGGGUUGGUGGAGCAAGAAUGAAGUGCGAUUCACUACUGGCAGCUUAGAAGCAAGCAGCAAUAGCGGCAGCAUUAAGGCAGCAGCAGUAGUAGAAAUGGUAGCUGAAUUUUGGGGGAGAAUUGAUGGAAAUUGAUUAUUCCAAUUAAACAAUUGGAGCAUCCUCAUGAAUCAAGUGUUGUAUGGAGCUGGGAGAGAAAGUUAUUGAGCUACAUUGUCAAUGAAGAGGGCUUCAAUUGAGGAGUUUCUUGCCGAUCCACACCUUUAUGUUAGCCAAAUUGAUGUUGACCCCAGCUGAACUUUAAGCAGGGAGUUUUGGAAUCUGCCCUCACCUUCCUUUUAUUUGGAGCUGGAAGAAAGUGCUUGUGAAGUUUUAGUUUGGUCCGUAGUCGGAUUAGCGCUCCAGGUGGGUUAAUGUUUAUCGAAAUCGUCGGAUUUCCUUCUAAGUCAUAGAAUUGUCAGCAUGUAUUCUUGGCUUUGUUCAUCAUGUUUAGUAGUUCGAAUUCGUAGAUUUGCAUGCUUUAUAUGGAAUCCGAAUUUGGAACAUUAUUUAAUAAUUUUAGAUGAAGUUAUAUAUAUAUAUGCUGAACUAGGAUUUGACUUAGGAGAAAACUCGUAAACCUACACUGCCAUUUUUUGGAAAAGUAACCGAAUUAGCUUCAGGAGCUGUUGUUCUCUUAUAUCACCAUUGUUAGUGCGAGGUGGAUACCCAGAUUAAUGUAGAUUCAGAUUACGCUCGUGCUGAGGAGCCGAAUGUGUUGUUAUAGUAUAGUUAGACUAUUUUGAACUGUCGGGUGUCGUCGGGACGGACGGUGGACCUGGAUUUCUGUAUUUUGUAUCAGAUUGUGCCGAGGGUACGUGAGCCUUAGUUGGUAGACCAGUUUGACCCAUUUGUAUUGAUAAUAGCUUGUGUGAGCCUGAUUGAGCUCGGCAGAAAUAUGCUUGCAUACUCGGUUGGGUCGCACCCACGAGUGCCGCUCCGAAGUGAGGCGUUUCUUGUGUUGAUGUUACAGCAUUCCUGUUCGGACAGUUCUUGGACCGGCCACCCUCGUGGGUGGUGUGCGGUAUAGUUUAGAUACAGGCUGGACGAGCCAGUUGACAGUCCCUUGAGAUUGGGUCAGUGUUGUUGAGUUGUAGAUAGCGAUGCAUUUCUUUAUCUACAGUGAGCCUGGUUUGGGAUAGCAGUACUAUAGUAGCAUAUAGCUAUAGAGUUUCUUCCAGCUUUACUAUUCUGUGCACACCAUACUGUAGACUUAGUGGGUGCGCCGUUGAGGUCCGUGGCCGUAUUCAUUGAGGACUACUCUGUUUUGUAGUAGUUCUCACACCGAGUUGUUGACACCUUUUUGCAAAGUCUUCGUUUGCGAUUGCUGCUGUUGUGGAUUCUCACCGUGGCAAGGGAGUCGCGAGCUAGAUCCCUACUAGCCCUGGUCUUUUGCUAGAGGAGCACCCAUCAGAGGUAGUUUUGGGGCUUAUUUACAUACUGUUAUGCUAGUGGUACUCGCUAGAGCGAGGUGGUUUUAUAACUUUUGUAUGUACAGAGGAUCCUUUCUGUUUUUAUAUAUAUAUUUAAGUUUUAGCAGCUCUAUACUUCUGGUUGUAGCUAGAUUUGGUUACAGGUACAGUUACCGUUUUAUAUACACGAAAAAUUUUCUAUGUAUACGGCGGGUCUGUUGGCGUGCCCGGAAAAAAUAUGGUAAUUCGGGGCGUGACAAUUUAAUUCUAAAAAUAUGUGUUUUUAUCUUUCUUAUAGUCUAAUAAUUUUCUUAGUUUUGAGUUUAAUUGUAUAGAUUGUUGAAUAAAUAAAGAUAAAAAAUCAACUUAAUAGAUUUUUUAUCAAUUCUUGCAAACUAUUUAAACUAAUAUUCUUCACUUCAUAUUUAGAAUAUUAUUUUCAAUGUAUUUGAUGAACUACAUAUUUCAGACUUAUUUCUCCAAAUUAUUAUCGAUGAUCAACGAUGACUAAAAAAUAUUAUUGCUCCUAUAAUAUGUAUCUGCCGCAUCGCACGGGUGAUUUACGGGUGCAAAGCAUGUAUUAUGAUUUAGGGGGAGAAUCGUGUAACCAUUGACAUGGGAUUUGAAAGUUAAAAAACAAAAACAAAACAUGGCUGAAAUUAAGUUCAGGCACUAACUAGUAGCAGGCCAAUUCAUAACUCCCUGAGAGGACAAUUUUACGCAGAGAGGGAGAGAGAGGGAGAGAGAGAGAGAUCUCGCUCGGCAUUACUAAAAAAAGGUAAUCGAUUCAU